RNAcentral lists this ribosomal RNA (317 nucleotides) under Goniosoma unicolor. Its description in RNAcentral is "partial 12S ribosomal RNA". Lineage: Eukaryota; Metazoa; Arthropoda; Arachnida; Opiliones; Gonyleptidae. The record is from RNAcentral.
CCCUAUUAUUAUUAAAGGAUUUUAUUAGUAUAUAUACUGAAAAUAAAAAUUUUUGGCGGUUAAUUAUUUUUUAGAGGAGCUUGUUAGUUUGUAAGAAUUUACUCUUUAUAUUUUAAUUAAAAUGAGUUUAUUCAUCUCCGUUAUUAAAUAGUUAUUAGUAAAAAUUAUUUUUGUAUUUCAGGUCAAGAUGUAGCAUUUAUUAUUAUUAGUUAGCUACAUUUUUGGAAAAAUGGAUUUUUGAUUCUUAAUUUAAGAAGAAAUUGAAUUUGAUUGUAAUAUUUAUUAGAAAGUUAGUAUGAAUUAAUAUAAUUAAUGUA